Non-coding RNA from Nothobranchius furzeri (turquoise killifish), 549 nucleotides. NCBI's taxonomy places the organism in Eukaryota, Metazoa, Chordata, Actinopteri, Cyprinodontiformes, Nothobranchiidae. The record is from the annotation of a RefSeq genome assembly.
AUGGUGCUGCUGAUGCAAAGUCAUGCUCUAUGGAAAUCUGCUGACUCACUCCAGCAGGAUCAUGGCUCAUUUGUAUCACUGUGGUACACGUUUGGUGGAGGAACCAGACUGGAGUUAGGAAGUGAUAUUUGUACCUCCCUGAUGGUGCUGCUUCCCUCCAGAAGGGAGCUGUUCCAGGGUAAUGCAACAGUUACAUGUCUGGCCACCAAGGGCUUCCCCUCAGACUGGAGUCUGUCCUGGAAGGUGGACGGCAGCAGCAGCAGCUGGGAGGAGGACAGGAGCCCCGUGGUGAUGAAGGACGGCCUCUACAGCUGGAGCAGCACCCUGAGGCUCACUGCAGACCAGUGGAGGAAGGUGGGCUCUGUGACCUGUGAGGCCACCCAGGGCUCCCAGUCUCCAGUCUCAGAGUCACUCAGGAGAGACCAGUGUUCCCAGUGAAAAUAGGCUCACUGGACCUUUUCCCAUCAUUUUUUUCUUUUGCAAAUUUUGUCAUUGUCUGUAUUUUUGAUUGAUGUUUCCCAGAAUUAAACAGUUUCUUAUUUCAAAAUC